Molecule: ribosomal RNA, 486 nt
Filed under: uncultured bacterium
Lineage: Bacteria
Description: partial 16S ribosomal RNA
Rfam family: Bacterial small subunit ribosomal RNA
Source: RNAcentral
AUUGAACGCUGGCGGCAUGCCUUACACAUGCAAGUCGAACGGCAGCACGGGUGCUUGCACCUGGUGGCGAGUGGCGAACGGGUGAGUAAUACAUCGGAACAUGUCCUGUAGUGGGGGUAGGCCGGCGGAAACCGGGAUUAUUACCCCUAACGACCACGGAAGAAAGCCGGGGGCCCUCCGGCCCCGGCCCUUUGGGUUUGGCGGAUGGCUGAUUAGCUAGUUGGUGGGGUAAAGGCCUACCAAGGCGACGAUCAGUAGCUGGUCUGAGAGGACGACCAGCCACACUGGGACUGAGACACGGCCCAGACUCCUACGGGAGGCAGCAGUGGGGAAUUUUGGACAAUGGGCGAAAGCCUGAUCCAGCAAUGCCGCGUGUGUGAAGAAGGCCUUCGGGUUGUAAAGCACUUUUGUCCGGAAAGAAAUCCUUGACUCUAAUACAGUCGGGGGAUGACGGUACCGGAAGAAUAAGCACCGGCUAACUACGUG